Molecule: ribosomal RNA, 1401 nt
Filed under: Bacillus velezensis
Lineage: Bacteria; Bacillati; Bacillota; Bacilli; Caryophanales; Bacillaceae
Description: bacterial SSU rRNA
Rfam family: Bacterial small subunit ribosomal RNA
Source: RNAcentral
GGGCGGUGCUAUACUGCAGUCGAGCGGACAGAUGGGAGCUUGCUCCCUGAUGUUAGCGGCGGACGGGUGAGUAACACGUGGGUAACCUGCCUGUAAGACUGGGAUAACUCCGGGAAACCGGGGCUAAUACCGGAUGCUUGUUUGAACCGCAUGGUUCAGACAUAAAAGGUGGCUUCGGCUACCACUUACAGAUGGACCCGCGGCGCAUUAGCUAGUUGGUGAGGUAACGGCUCACCAAGGCGACGAUGCGUAGCCGACCUGAGAGGGUGAUCGGCCACACUGGGACUGAGACACGGCCAAAACUCAUACGGGAGGCAGCAGUAGGGAAUCUUCCGCAAUGGACGAAAGUCUGACGGAGCAACGCCGCGUGAGUGAUGAAGGUUUUCGGAUCGUAAAGCUCUGUUGUUAGGGAAGAACAAGUGCCGUUCAAAUAGGGCGGCACCUUGACGGUACCUAACCAGAAAGCCACGGCUAACUACGUGCCAGCAGCCGCGGUAAUACGUAGGUGGCAAGCGUUGUCCGGAAUUAUUGGGCGUAAAGGGCUCGCAGGCGGUUUCUUAAGUCUGAUGUGAAAGCCCCCGGCUCAACCGGGGAGGGUCAUUGGAAACUGGGGAACUUGAGUGCAGAAGAGGAGAGUGGAAUUCCACGUGUAGCGGUGAAAUGCGUAGAGAUGUGGAGGAACACCAGUGGCGAAGGCGACUCUCUGGUCUGUAACUGACGCUGAGGAGCGAAAGCGUGGGGAGCGAACAGGAUUAGAUACCCUGGUAGUCCACGCCGUAAACGAUGAGUGCUAAGUGUUAGGGGGUUUCCGCCCCUUAGUGCUGCAGCUAACGCAUUAAGCACUCCGCCUGGGGAGUACGGUCGCAAGACUGAAACUCAAAGGAAUUGACGGGGGCCCGCACAAGCGGUGGAGCAUGUGGUUUAAUUCGAAGCAACGCGAAGAACCUUACCAGGUCUUGACAUCCUCUGACAAUCCUAGAGAUAGGACGUCCCCUUCGGGGGCAGAGUGACAGGUGGUGCAUGGUUGUCGUCAGCUCGUGUCGUGAGAUGUUGGGUUAAGUCCCGCAACGAGCGCAACCCUUGAUCUUAGUUGCCAGCAUUCAGUUGGGCACUCUAAGGUGACUGCCGGUGACAAACCGGAGGAAGGUGGGGAUGACGUCAAAUCAUCAUGCCCCUUAUGACCUGGGCUACACACGUGCUACAAUGGGCAGAACAAAGGGCAGCGAAACCGCGAGGUUAAGCCAAUCCCACAAAUCUGUUCUCAGUUCGGAUCGCAGUCUGCAACUCGACUGCGUGAAGCUGGAAUCGCUAGUAAUCGCGGAUCAGCAUGCCGCGGUGAAUACGUUCCCGGGCCUUGUACACACCGCCCGUCACACCACGAGAGUUUGUAACACCCGAAGU